This 698-nucleotide ribosomal RNA is filed under the name Pseudomonas sp. 100-p12_1. RNAcentral describes it as "bacterial SSU rRNA". It matches the Rfam family "Bacterial small subunit ribosomal RNA", at positions 79 to 773 of the family's 1533-position model. Lineage: Bacteria; Pseudomonadati; Pseudomonadota; Gammaproteobacteria; Pseudomonadales; Pseudomonadaceae. The record is from RNAcentral. RNAcentral also lists the same sequence under 2 other names.
CUUGCUUCUCUUGAGAGCGGCGGACGGGUGAGUAAUGCCUAGGAAUCUGCCUGGUAGUGGGGGAUAACGUUCGGAAACGGACGCUAAUACCGCAUACGUCCUACGGGAGAAAGCAGGGGACCUUCGGGCCUUGCGCUAUCAGAUGAGCCUAGGUCGGAUUAGCUAGUUGGUGGGGUAAUGGCUCACCAAGGCGACGAUCCGUAACUGGUCUGAGAGGAUGAUCAGUCACACUGGAACUGAGACACGGUCCAGACUCCUACGGGAGGCAGCAGUGGGGAAUAUUGGACAAUGGGCGAAAGCCUGAUCCAGCCAUGCCGCGUGUGUGAAGAAGGUCUUCGGAUUGUAAAGCACUUUAAGUUGGGAGGAAGGGCAGUUGCCUAAUACGUAACUGUUUUGACGUUACCGACAGAAUAAGCACCGGCUAACUCUGUGCCAGCAGCCGCGGUAAUACAGAGGGUGCAAGCGUUAAUCGGAAUUACUGGGCGUAAAGCGCGCGUAGGUGGUUUGUUAAGUUGGAUGUGAAAUCCCCGGGCUCAACCUGGGAACUGCAUUCAAAACUGACUGACUAGAGUAUGGUAGAGGGUGGUGGAAUUUCCUGUGUAGCGGUGAAAUGCGUAGAUAUAGGAAGGAACACCAGUGGCGAAGGCGACCACCUGGACUGAUACUGACACUGAGGUGCGAAAGCGUGGGGAGCAAAC